GGGGCGGGGCGGGCGGCGCUGCUGACACCCGGCCUCGCUGAGUCCCAGCCUGCAGCCCUGGCGAGCCCGCCAGUGAGAGCGGGCCUGUCCCGGCUCCCUAGCGCCGCUCUGGCCGGGCCAGCCCCGCACUCCCCUGCCCGCCAGCGCCCGCGGUCGGCGCUCAGCCAGGGGGGACGCGGGGGAUUUGUGACGUGCGGCCCUUUGUUCCCCAGCCGCUCGGCGCGGCGGCCGCUGGCGCUGCCGUGGGGGGCGAGGGAGCCGGUCGGAUACGCUCCGUUUGGCGGGGAAAGGCUGAUUUGCUGGAGCAAAUUUACAGGCGAGCAGGCGGCUGAGGGAAUAACUUUUAUUGGCCCAGCGUCUCUCGUGCACAGUCAAUCUGUGGAAUCUUUGCCAGAAGAUGUGAAGGCCAAGACUAUAACAGGGCUGGAGGCUGCAUGCUGUUUGAUCUUCAUUCUCCCAGGGAUGGGAGGGUCUGGGAGACCCAGCCAGCUGUCGCAAAAGCACAAGUAGCAUGCACUGGGUGCUGUUGCGGAGAGGUAGAGGACUUCUGGGGGUACAUUUGCCCUGUCCAACAAGCAUGGAGUCCCGGUUCAUGGGCCGCCCAACUAUGGCAUUGUGCAGUGCGAUCCUGGGUUGUAGGACAUGGAGGAGUGGUCUCAGGACCUGGUGUGAGUGGAACAGGAGCUUGCACUCUUGCAGCCAUUAGCACAAGCAGCUGCUCAAACCGGGUUUUCUGCUGUAUUCAGUCUUCCUCCCUCAAGCAACAUUCCUGCUCCAGAAGCUGCGCUGAAAAUCUAUCAGUGUGCUCUACAGACUGUCUGUGCCUUUCCACUCCUAUGAAUCCUUUCCCCUUUAGUAUUGUGUCUGCUUGUUGACUCCAUUCAGGAUGUCCACUAUGAGUUAAUUACAGAAAUGCCUCCUCUUUGGCCACUCCUUGACCGUUCAAAAUCCCAGGCUCCUGCUGGACCGUGGCUGGGCGGCAGAGGUGGAAGUGCCUGAAAGCAGACAUCAAACAGUACGUUGUCUCAGUACUUCAAAAAAAAGUUCAGUGCAUCCUCAGAAAAAAGUGCCUGUGGAAUCUCAAAGCCAAAAAAAUGAUACUUUGUAAAACUCAGCUUCACUAUGUUCUCAGAUGAAUACUUCUGUUCCUAGAAGCUCCAUGGCCAUAAUUGAGUUAAGCAGAGUGAAAAGAGUGCACACAUAAUGGUAAGAUGACAUUUACAAAUGCUAUAUGUUUAAAAAUUGCAGACUGUUGUAGCCAGGGGCAGUGGGGUUAUGCCAUGGUUUACUACCUAAGGUUUCUCAGUCCUUUCAGGCAUUCCACAGUCUGGGGGACAUGACAAUCCUGGAGUUUCCUGAAUGCCAAAGAGAUUUUAUGCCAUGCUACCAGUGGUAAGCCAGCUGUCUAUGCUACAGAGGUUUCAAGCUUAUGGUGACUGAGCAGCACAUCUAUGAGUGGGGUGGACCACAGUCCUGAUUAGGAGAGCCCAGAAAAUAUACCCUUUCCUGAAAUGAGACUACCCAUUGGGAAUUCCUACUCUGCGAAAAGUUUGCAACUAUCAGCACCCAGGAUUGGGUCAAAAUUAAAGGGAAAUCAACAGGAUGCCGUGUUAGCAUCCACACGGUUUACUGUCUCCCUAUAGCUUACAACGCAGCCUGCUCUGACUAAAUAUACUAUGGACUACAUGCAAACACAUCUGACAAUAUGGACUCUCAAAGAACUACAUGGACAGUCACCCCCCUUUGCCCAAUAUAUUUGUAUACUGCACACAAUUCCCCCCCCCACACACACACCCUGGGGUAUUUCAGACAUUGAUUUACUCACCCACUCUCUACAUUUUCCCCAACCUUCAUGUACAGUUUACAGGUAGCUUGUUACGCUAUGGCAUACUAAAAGGGAAGGCAGUAUUCUUUCUUUUAACGCCCCAGCACAUCUUUAAGCAUUUGCAAGUAUCUAAAAAAACUUUAAAGUUAAAUGCUUGUUUAACAGUUGUUUGUGUUUCUUGGUCUCCAUUUUGAAUGCCGUGUGGUGGUGGUGUGGAAAGUGAUGCCAAGAUGCUGGGGUACAUUCCACCAUUAGUAGAUACACAUGACUACUUAUGUCCUGUAAUAAAAAGUGCAAUGGGUCAUAAACUGGAAAUCCCUCCCAUUUGACUAUUAUCAUUAACAAUAAAAAAGGAGCCAAACACUU
Caretta caretta (loggerhead turtle) is the source of this 2191-nucleotide long non-coding RNA. RefSeq lists it as uncharacterized. The record is from RefSeq and is a predicted model, not a curated record. NCBI's taxonomy places the organism in Eukaryota, Metazoa, Chordata, Testudines, Cheloniidae.